Molecule: long non-coding RNA, 1798 nt
Organism: Quercus lobata
Lineage: Eukaryota; Viridiplantae; Streptophyta; Magnoliopsida; Fagales; Fagaceae
Exons: 2
Source: RefSeq, a predicted model, not a curated record
AAUUCCAUCGCCAUAGACUCCAUACAUAAUAUAUACAAUGGAAGAGGAUAUUCUUGGAAAAAUGACACCUUUAAAUGUAUUUAUUUUUUCGUACAGAUUUAUUCUGAGUUCAAUGACACCUUUAUAUGUAUUUAUGUUUAAUACAGAUUUAUUCGGACAGAAAAACCUCUUCAAUGACACCUUUAUAUGUAUUUAUUUUUUCGUACAGAUUUAUUCUGACAUAAAAACCGCCUCCGUGGUAAUUUUCCCACCACACAUGCACCCACCAGUAUCCACCACACAUGCACACAAGACACAACGCUUAAAAAUAGAAGCCAAAGGCAUCAGGAAGGUUCAAGCUCAAAGAGUCUUGAGCAUUUUCUAAAAACAUAUAUGGCUCUCUCUCUCUCCAGCUGUUUAACUGAGUAUUACUCUUCUCAAAACACCAACCAAGGAGAAGAUGCAGAUGAUGAUGAUGAUGAUGGUGGUACAUUGAAAUUCCAGUGGAAGAUCACAAAGCAGCUGAACUCUCACAAGAGAUGGAGAAGCCUCUCUCACUUGAAUUGACGAGUCCCUUCAAUUCUCUUGAUCUCAAAAAGGACCUAUCAGGAAAAGAAGAAAUGUGAAAAGUCCCACAUAUAUCUAUAACAUGUUUGGAAGAACUGAUCCCAAAAGCAUCCCAGCCAGAGUGAAGGAAGGGAGAGAAGAUGAGUCCAUUACAUUCUCAUGUUGUUAGGGUUCUUCAAGGGCAAGAUAAAAGAUGAUUAAGAAAAAAGCAAUUUUUCUUUUUCUUUUUUUUUUUUCAAAAUUUUGGUUGAUAAGUCAAUAAUUACAACGGAAAGUUAAGUUUCUCUACUUUUCGAUCUAUGAAAUUUACAUGAAAUUAUAAAUAAAUAAAUAUAUAUAUUUAUUCUUUAAAUAAAUAACCGAGAACAUAUAUAUUAAUCUUUAAGGCUCUCUAAAGCAAUAUUUAUUACCCAUACGACUUCAUAAUCUUCUUACCAUAUACUUUGAUUACCUUGGGAAAAGAUUUAUUGAUAUUACGGCCUCACAAAACCAAAAAUUUAUAUCACUUUACUCAUCAAUAAAAUGUCAUUGCAACCGCUCUGAGUACUGAUUUUAUGUGUAUAGGAGUCUGUAUUUUGUGCCAAACCUGUACAGAUUCUUUUCUUCUAAUUUCCCUCCAACCAAACUCAGUCUAGGGAGCCCAAACAUUGAAUCUAUCCCAUGCCCAACGAGAAAUCCAUCCCACAUCUGUACCUAACGUUUGAGACAAACCUGUUAUAUAUAAAUUAAUUAUUUCAAUAUUAUUGCGCGGAAGUAAUGUAAGAAUUAUGCAGGAAGAUUCAUAUAUGGAACACUCAUUUGAGCAAGAUACUACAUGUAACUUCUGUUUCUAGUGGAGGAAGAGGCUAUAUGGUUAGAGAGCCACAACCUAGGACCUUCAGCAAGCUAGUCCGGUUGAAGCAUAAUUAGUGGCUUUCUCGUGGCUCUGGUGGAACACAAGUGGUUUGUUCAAAGACAAUUAGAGGCUUCCUCGUGGCUCUGAUAGAACACAAGUGGUUUGUUCAGAAAUAAUUAGAGGCUUCUCUCGCGGUUAUUGAACAUAAGCUGGAAGUACAACAUCUUUUGACAUUUUUUUAUGAUCAUUACAUGGUGAUAUAUACUUUUUGCUACUCUACUUUCUUUCCAAACAAGAUAUUGUUUUUUUUUUUUUUUUUUUUUUUUUUUUUUGAUACGAACAAGAUAUUGUUUUAAGUGACAUGUGAAGCAACAAUGCAAAACCGUUUCAAUGGUCAGUUAGUAGUUCUUUUGUCAA